This 468-nucleotide ribosomal RNA is filed under the name uncultured bacterium. RNAcentral's name for it is "partial 16S ribosomal RNA". It matches the Rfam family "Bacterial small subunit ribosomal RNA", at positions 28 to 507 of the family's 1533-position model. The record is from RNAcentral.
GACGAACGCUGGCGGCGUGCUUAACACAUGCAAGUCGAACGGAAAGGCCCUGCUUUUGUGGUGUGCUCGAGUGGCGAACGGGUGAGUAACACGUGAGUAACCUGCCCUUGACUUUGGGAUAACUUCAGGAAACUGGGGCUAAUACCGGAUAGGAGCUCCUGCUGCAUGGUUGGGGUUGGAAAGUUUCGGCGGUUGGGGAUGGACUCGCGGCUUAUCAGCUUGUUGGUGGGGUAGUGGCUUACCAAGGCUUUGACGGGUAGCCGGCCUGAGAGGGUGACCGGCCACAUUGGGACUGAGAUACGGCCCAGACUCCUACGGGAGGCAGCAGUGGGGAAUAUUGCACAAUGGGCGGAAGCCUGAUGCAGCAACGCCGCGUGCGGGAUGACGGCCUUCGGGUUGUAAACCGCUUUCGCCUGUGACGAAGCGUGAGUGACGGUAAUGGGUAAAGAAGCACCGGCUAACUACGUG